CAAGAGCCUGAGUAGACAGCAGCGGUGACCUUUGGUAGCAUCUCAAAAGACACCUACACGAUGGAACAUGCCCAGGGAUUUGGAAAACCGGAAGGACCUGCUUCUGUCUGAAUUAUGGAGUCUGGCACUAGGAUGAUCCUCUCAGGACAUAUUCCCAGAAGUGGACUUCCUCAGUGACAGGCAGUGACCAGCUUGAUAUCUGCUGUCAAAUUUCUUCCAAAAACCUUCCACCAUGACUUUCAGCAGCAAGGACUGAAAGAGCCAGUUCUGCAGUUCUGCAUGAAGCCUCUCCAAGCCGGGGUUCUAUUUUGAAAUAGCUUUGCUAAUUCCCAGAAGACCCUGCUGUGUGUAUGACUCUCUGUUUAGCCAAAAAAGAAGUCGUGGUUUUGAAUAGCCUCGGUGUGACUGUUCUCAGUGAGAACGAGGGUACCAGAUCGCCACCGCCUGGCCAGCAGUAGCCCCAGCACGUUCACCACGGUGGAGGUGGGUGCCUUGAGAGGUAGUUCACAACACCGAGCUGGCCCCGGAGUCGGCAUACAUCUUCAGGCUGCCGGCCAAGACGAGGCAGGGCUGGUCGAGCCGCUGGAGGGCCCCGUCAUCACCACUGAGAAGAGAGCCUCCAAGAGACGAGAGCCUGAACAGCCUUCUUCAGGAAUACCAGAUCUACUACUGGGAGCUGGAGUCAGAGGUAUCCUCAGCCACCGUGUCCAAGAUGCUCAAAACCGCUUCGGCUUUACAGGCUGAGCUCCCAGAAAUGUGGCCCUGCCUACUGACAAACAUCCUAUGCUGGCAUAUUAAAAUGCCCUAUGCCUCCCAAUGUCCAUAUAUCUCUGAACCCAAAUUAUAAGUGAUCCUUUGGCCCAACAUAUUGCUCAGGCCGUAGGACUCAGCCAGACUCCCACUUUAAAGAAGAGAAUAUUUGAGACACAGGAUCCUCUGAGACACAGGAUCUGAAUGGCCUCAAGGCUGAACCUAGUAUGGAAAAAGGGCCAAUGGAUGGAAAUGGAUACAGACGGCCAGAGUUCUUCAAUAGAGAUGAGAAUGUGAUUAUGAUGAAAAUGAAGUGACUAGGACAAUUUCCUAGCGAGCUAACCAUUUCAGGAACAAGAAACAUGUGUGGGCUUGGGCAAAGGGAACCUCCCUUGGCUACCCCUAGGAACCUUGUCAGCAAGAGGCCCGAAUUCUUCCUGCCGAAAGAGAGAGGAUCCUUCUGGCCUUGCCUGUUUUUCCUGUCCUUCACAUCAGUGAAUACAGGAGACGGUGACCCUCUGACCCUGAGACCCUGACACUGAGGAUGCUGAGUCACCACAGGCUGCACCCACACAGCUGGAAAGAACAGGGAGAGACACAAAUGGAGUGCCUGGAAUCUCCAAAUAUCCUGGAAAUCAGGGUGGUCAAAGAGCAAGGCUCCUGUCCCAACCAGACCCCUCCUCCUGACCCUCAGGAUCCAGCACCUGGACAGUAAGUGAAGAAGGAGAGAAAAGAGACAGGAGUCCAGGCCAUGGAGAUGCCCAGGACUGCAAGAACACAGAGCAAGACCAGAGCAGCUUCAAGUCUGUCAUAUCACCCCCAGGGGAAUGGAGGCACAUUAUGCAAAUUACCACUCCCCAGGCUGUCCCACCCCCAUGGAGGUCUGAGCACAGGUCCCCAGACAGGGAGACAGGGCUGGUUCUCACUGGUCUCCCAGGCCCACCCCCAGGUGGAUCUGUGAUGGGGCAGCACCUGGAAAGGAUCCAGGGCUUCAUCAGAGCCUGUCCACCUACACCCCAGCCUGUCUUCUAGAGGAAGGAUAGGGACCAGCAUUGGUGGACAACCUGCCGAUCGUAUCUACAGAGGCAUCUUCUGCUCAGUCCAGACCCACCUUCCUGUGUGUAAUGUGGGGGGUGGGGCUGUGAGGAAGUCCCUCCCAGGGAACCUAUCCUGUGUUCCCCAGAGCAGGACAGAGGACAGAGAGGGCUCAGCCCCAGCAGCCCCAUUUAGAAGCUACAUGAAGCCUGGCUCCCUCCCAUCUGUCCCCUAAUUCCCAUGUGAGUGAACGAGGUGCUCCUUCCAAGUUCCCCUCUUUUCUCACCCUCUCCCACCCCAAUGGGGAGGAGCUUGACCAUCAUCACAAGGAAGUUGUUCAGAGGCUGACCUCACUACCUGAGUAUCCGGCUCAUCCUGAGAAAGACCAUCCUCAGGGAAUUUGAGGAGCCCCUAGCCCUCCCAGGACAAAUCUAGGAGUACAAGGGCCUGAGGGCAGACCCAAAGUGAUGACAUGUCCCAAACAGGAAGAGAAAGACAGGGACACACAGAACUGGGCACUUAAGACUGAGGGAACACGUUAUAGGAAGAAAGGAGGUGAGCAGCACAGGUGUCUGUGUGAAGGACUCUGAUGGAACAAGGCAUGUGGUGGUCAUCCUCCACUCCUGAUGCGUCUCAUGAAAGCCAUGUGGACUGGUCCUUGAGGAAACCGACAAUUGCUCAAUAUUCCUCCUGUUGUUUCUGUGAGGGCAUUUGGGGUGAAUUAUCAUUUGACUGCUCACACCAAGGUGAGCUGAGGGCCCUCUCUAGGGUGUGGUGUCCUCACCCUUCAACUGAAGGCCUCAAUAGAACAGAAAGGCUGAAUGAGAGGGAACUCCUCUGCUAUAGAUCAUUUUUCUGGAUCAGUUUUACACAGACUCACUAAUUAUGUCAUGAAACUGUACACUUUUAACAAUCUUAUUUUUAUUUCUUUUUGUUUUCUUAAUUUAAAUUCAAUUAUCCAACGUAUACUACAUCAUUAGUUUCUGGUGUAGUGAUCAGUGAUUCAUCAGUUCAUAGAACACUCAGUGCUCAUCACAUCAUGUGCACAGUUACCCCAUCCCCCCACAUACCUCCCCUUCUGCAUCCCUCAGUUUGUUUCCCAGAGUCAAGAAUCUCUUGUGGUUUGUCUCCCUCUUUGAUUUCUUCCCAUUCAGUUUCCCUUCCCUUCUCCUAUGAUCCUCUGCACUAUUUCUUAUAUUCCACAUAUAAGUGAAACCAUAUGAUAAUUGUCUUUCUCCGAUUGACUUAUUUCACUUAGCAGAAUACCCUCCAGUUCCAUCCAUGUCGAUGUAAAUGGUAGGUGUUCGUCUUUUCUAAUGGCUAAGUAAUAUUCCAUGAACCACAUCUUCUUUAUCAAUUCAUCUGUUGAAGGACAACUUUAUUUUUUAAAUGAUAACAGCAAAGAAAUGUCCGUCAAUUUGGCAAAUGUAAGAUCACAGAUAAUUUUAAUUGAUGAUUUUGAGAGGAUUUUUUUUUUUUGCUGGUGAAAACACAAGUACAACUUUUGAGAGUAUUUUAGUGGCUAUGAUGACAUUCGACAAAUUACUUCGAAAGAUAUAUUCUAUUACAAUAGAUGCAGAAAAAGCAUUUGACAAAGUACAGCAUCCUCUCUUGAUCAAAACUCUUCAGAGUAUAGGGAUAGAGGGUAUAUACCUCAAUAUCAUAAAAGCCAUCUAUGAAAAACCCACAGCUAAUAUCAUUCUCAAUGAGGAAAAACUGAGAGCUUUCCCCCUAAGGUCAGGAAUGCGGCAGGGAUGUCCACUAUCACCACUGCUAUUCAACAUAGUAUUAGAAGUCCUAGCCACAGCAAUCAGACAACAAAAAAAUAAAUAAAAGGCAUUCAAAUCGGCAAAGAAGAAGUCAAAUUCUCUUUGCAGACGGUAUGAUACUUUAUGUGGAAAACCCAAAAGACUCCACCCCAAAACUGCUAGAACUCAUACAGGAAUUCAGUAAAGUGGCAGGAUGUAAAAUCAAUGCACAGAAAUCAGUGGCAUUCCUAUAUACCAACAACAAGACAGAAGAAAGAGAAAUGAAGGAGCUGAUCCCAUUUACAAUUGCACCCAAAACCAUAAGAUACCUAGGAAUAAAUCUAACCAAAGAGGCAAAGAAUCUGCAUUCAGAAAAUUAUAAAAUAGUCAUGAAAGAAACUGAGGAAGACACAAAGAAAUGGAAAAACGUUCCACGCUCAUGGAUUGGAAGAACAAAUAUUGUGAAGAUGUCAGUGCUACCUAGAGCAAUCUACACAUUCAGUGCAAUCCCUAUCAAAAUACCAUCCAGUGUUUUCAAAGAAAUGGAACAAAUAAUCCUAAAAUUUGUAUGGAACCAGAAAGACCCUGAAUAGCCAGAGGAAUGUUGAAAAAGAAAAGCAAAGCUGGCGGCAUCACAAUUCCGGGCUUCAAGCUCUAUUACAAAGCUGUCAUCAUCAAGACAGUAUGGUACUGGCACAAAAACAGACACAUAGAUCAAUGGAACGGAAUGGAGAGCCAGAAAUGGACCCUCAACUCUAUGGUCAACUCAUCUUUGACAAAGCAGGAAAGAAUGUCCAAUGGAAAAAAGACAGUCUCUUCAACAAAUGGUGUUGGGAAAAUUGGACAGCCACAUGCAGAAGAAUGAAACUGGACCAUUUCCUUACACCACACACAAAAAUAGACUCCAAAUGGUUGAAAGACCUCAAUGUGAGACAGGAGUCCAUCAGAAUCCUAAAGGAGAACACAGGCAGCAACCUCUUCUACCUCAGCUGCAGCAACUUCUUCCUAGAAACAUCGCCAAAGGCAAGGGAAGCAAGGGCAAAAGUGAACUAUUGGGACCUCAUCAAGAUAAAAAGCUUUUGCACAGCAAAAGAAACAGUCAACAAAACCAAAAGACAACCGACAGAAUGGGAGAAGAUAAUUGCAAAUGACAUAUCAGAUAAAGGGCUAGUAUCCAAAAUCUAUAAAGAACAUCCUAAAGUCAACACCCAAAGAACAAAUGAUCCAAUCAAGAAAUGGGCAGAAGACAUGAACAGACAUUUUUCCAAAGAAGACAUCCCAACUGGCCAACAGACACAUGAAAAAGUGCUCAACAUCACUCGGCAUCAGGGAAAUCCAAAUCAAAACCUCAAUGAGAUAUCACCUCACACCAGUCAGAAUGGCUAAAAUUAACAAGUCAGGAAAUGACAGAUGUUGGCGGGGAUGCGAAGAAAGGGGAACCCUCCUACACUGUUGGUGGGAAUGCAAGCUCGUGCAGCCACUUUGGAAAACAGUAUGGAGGUUCCUCAAAUAGUUGAAAAUAGAGCUACCAUAUGAUCCAGGGUAUUUACCCAAAAGAUACAAAUGUAGGGAUCCGAAGGGGUACAUGCACCCCGAUGUUUAUAGCAGCAAUGUCCACAAUAGCCAAACUGUGGAAAGAGCCAAGAUGUCCAUCGACAGAUGAUUGAAUAGUGGUAUAUAUAUAUACAAUGGAAUAUUAUGCAGCUAUCAAAAGGAAUGAGAUCUUGCCUUUUGCAACGAUGUGGAUGGAACUGCAGGGCGUUAUGCUGAGCGAAAUAAGUCAAUCAGAGAAAGACAUGUAUCGUAUGACCUCACUGAU
Mirounga angustirostris (Northern elephant seal) is the source of this 5352-nucleotide long non-coding RNA. RefSeq lists it as uncharacterized. The transcript is spliced from 8 exons. The record is from RefSeq and is a predicted model, not a curated record. Lineage: Eukaryota; Metazoa; Chordata; Mammalia; Carnivora; Phocidae.